AUUGAACGCUGGCGGCAUGCUUUACACAUGCAAGUCGAACGGCAGCGCGGGCUUCGGCCUGGCGGCGAGUGGCGAACGGGUGAGUAAUGCAUCUGAACGUGCCCAGUAGUGGGGGAUAGCCCGGCGAAAGCCGGAUUAAUACCGCAUACGACCUGAGGGUGCAAGCGGGGGACCGAAAGGCCUCGCGCUCUUGGAGCGGCCGAUGUCGGAUUAGCUAGUUGGUGGGGUAAAGGCUUACCAAGGCGACGAUCCGUAGCUGGUCUGAGAGGACGACCAGCCACACUGGGACUGAGACACGGCCCAGACUCCUACGGGAGGCAGCAGUGGGGAAUUUUGGACAAUGGGGGCAACCCUGAUCCAGCCAUGCCGCGUGCGGGAAGAAGGCCUUCGGGUUGUAAACCGCUUUUGUUCGGGAAGAAAUCCUCUGGGCUAAUACCCCGGGGGGAUGACGGUACCGGAAGAAUAAGCACCGGCUAACUACGUG
Molecule: ribosomal RNA, 484 nt
Filed under: uncultured bacterium
Lineage: Bacteria
Description: partial 16S ribosomal RNA
Rfam family: Bacterial small subunit ribosomal RNA
Source: RNAcentral